GGCGCAGGCGAGGCCCUGUCGCAUGCACAGCGGCCUAUGCGAGGGAGCGGACACGGGCACACGGCUCAAGUGGCGCGGACGAGACCAGCCUGGCCUCCUUCGUCAGCGCCGCAGCCGCAGCGUCCGUCGAGGCGAUGGCGCAGAGUAGAGACAAUAUUGCUUCAGUUUCGUAAUAGGUUACUCACUGAAAGAGUCGCGCAGGAGCAGGUCCGGCCUAGCGAUGCUAGCAUGCUGCCUCUUCGCGGUCUGUCAACGCCAAUCGUGAUCUUGCUUGUUCGUCUUGGCCUUCGUUGGAGAGCGUCGUGUCAUCAACGUUCUCCAACUAUGAGCGAUCUGUUUUCUUCCUACCAACAGCCACUUCUCUCUGUUCUCUCAAGCAAAAGUGCUGAUAACGUGUUAAAGUAUACUCAGUGGCAAAUGAGAAUUGAGAGAGACAAAUGGCAGAGACAAGUAACUGUCGUCUUUAUUGCA
Long non-coding RNA from Zea mays, 471 nucleotides. RefSeq lists it as uncharacterized. Lineage: Eukaryota; Viridiplantae; Streptophyta; Magnoliopsida; Poales; Poaceae. The record is from RefSeq and is marked validated. The transcript has a single exon.